This is a long non-coding RNA of Homo sapiens (human), 1025 nucleotides long. Lineage: Eukaryota; Metazoa; Chordata; Mammalia; Primates; Hominidae. The record is from Ensembl.
CUCUAGCUGCCCUGGGCACCCUGGAGUUCACACUUCUUUUUGAAGCGGACAACAGUGCCCUGCAUUGCACGGCUCAUCGUGCCAAGGGCCUCAAGCCAUUGGCCUCAGGCUCCGCGGAUGCCUAUGUCAAAGCCAAUCUGCUGCCAGGGGCCAGCAAGGCCAGCCAGCUUCGGACACACACCGUUCGGGGCACGAGGGUACCUGUCUGGGAGGAGACACUCACCUAUCACGGCUUCACCCGCCAGGAUGCUGAGUGCAAGACCCUUAGGCUGUGUGUGUGCGAGGACCCAUGGUACAGCGACAGUGGCAGGCACCUUCCCUGGGGGAGCUGCGGGUGCCCCUGAGGAAGCUGGUGCCAAACCGAGCCAGGAGCUUUGACAUCUGUCUGGAGAAGCGGAGGCUGGCCAAGAGGCCCAAGAGCCUGGACACAGCCUGUGGCAUGUCCCUCUAUGAGGAGGAGGUGGAGACAGAGGUGGCCUGGGAGGAAUGUGGGCACGUCCUACUGUCACUGUGCUACAGCUCUCAGCAGGGUGGCUUGCUGGUAGGUGUGCUGCGCUGCGCCCACCUGGCCCCCAUGGAUGCCAAUGGUUACUCGGACCCCUUCGUGCGCCUGAAUUCUUUUACUCAGGCCCACGGGAGGAGCUGGCCCAGAAGACGCUGCUGGUGUCUGUGUGGGACUAUGACCUAGGCACGGCUGAUGACUUCAUUGGCGGGGUGCAGCUGGGCAGCCAUGCCAGUGGGGAGCGCCUGCGGCACUGGCUUGAGUGCCUGGGCCACAGUGACCACCGCCUGAAGCUGUGGCACCCGCUGGACAGCAAGCCUGUCCAGCUCAGCGACUAGCCCAUGGGCCCUGCCUGCCGCCCCUCCACUACAGCUGCCUGAAACGUCCCCACAAAAAUGAUGGCGGCUGGGGCUGCCUUACCCUCAUGCCCAGCCCCAAGUCAGAGAGGUGUUUCCUCUCUCCCCGCUUUCACAUUCACCCCACCCCAAAUCAUGGAGCCGAAAUAAACAUCUCCUUCAAGCCA